CGGGAUGUAGCUCAGCUUGGUAGAGCACCACGUUCGGGACGUGGGGGUCAUGGGUUCGAAUCCCGUCAUCCCGA
This 74-nucleotide transfer RNA is filed under the name Oenococcus kitaharae. RNAcentral describes it as "tRNA-Pro". It matches the Rfam family "tRNA". From Rfam's summary of the family: Transfer RNA (tRNA) molecules are approximately 80 nucleotides in length. Lineage: Bacteria; Bacillati; Bacillota; Bacilli; Lactobacillales; Lactobacillaceae. RNAcentral also lists the same sequence under 2 other names. The record is from RNAcentral.